CAUAGUAGUUGAAUGUUGUCUGUCCGUCGGCCUCACCUCAAAACACAGUAAUGUUUGUCAAAGAAAAAAAAAGAUCAAGUAAAAGUUCCUUCAAAUUAAUUAUUCGAAAGGUACUUAUAAUUUUUUUCAAUGACACCAAAAAAAAAACAUUGAACCUGGGUGGUGUAUCGGCAACAGACUGCUGCCUCGAUCGCUCUUGGAUUUUUUUUUUUUUUUUUUUUUUUUGCUGUUAAUUAAUAUAUAACCUCCCAUUUUUGAGCUCUUUCAAGCAGAAUAAGAAUUAAAGUUUCCUUUUCUUAUUUGUUUUGUAAAUACUAUGGUAAUACCAUGGUAUUUUUUCCCAUGAGCUUCAGCUUGUGCUUUCAUGAUAUUAAGAUGAGAGUGAGAGCGUACUACGUAUGUAAGAAUUGUACUCACAAACGUUUUUGGAGGAAUAAUGUUUUAUUUUAAUCCGGUGUGAUUUUUUUUGUGUGUAUGUACAUCAUCGAGGCUCAUGGAAGAGCGAGAGCAGAAUGGAAGGGAACACAUUUGAAAAGGGGGCAACACCACCAGCAGAGUAGAAGUGAGAGUGAGGUCAAGGGGAGGAGGAAAAGGGAACAUGGUGGUGAAGAAGCCACACACAAGUAGAAUGAAACACAGCAAGAAGAGGAAGAGGAAAGAGGGGAUGAAACAGAAAAGAAACAAAGCAACCGACAACUAACAAACGAAAAGAGACAUGUCCAUGUUAAACUCAUCUUCUUUUGCUGCACUACUGUUGCUCUUCGCCAUGCUCUUGGCUGCAGCAAACUCACAGGACGUGAAGUACAACUGCAGUUUACCUGGCUGCAAGUGCACCAAGAAAAGUCAACAAACCAAAUUCGUGAACGUGGAUUGCCAACGCACAAACCCCAAAAUAUUCUUCGAAAAUCUCCCUGAAUACACAAAGACCCUAAAAUUGAAUGAUACCGGACUGAGCUACUUGCCAAACGGUGCUUUGGAUAAUCUGCAUCAUCUUGAAGAACUCCAUUUAGGUGGUAACACUUGGCACUGCGACUGUCAAAUCAUUUACCUGUGGCAGUGGUUCCAGGAUAACAAGAACAUAAUCAAAGGUCAAGUCUUCUGUCACACACCCCAAGAAUUCCAGGGGAAAGAAAUAAAAGCUUUGAAGGGCAACGACUUUGUGAACUGCCUGAAGAAGCCUCCUGGGUGCUGGGAGUUGGUGCUGCGUGACAUGGGAUUGCACAUGAUCAGUAUAGUGCUCUUGAUCCCUCUGUUCUCCGCACUGUGUAGCAUCCGCAGCAAAGCGCUGUUCUCGUGCAAAAGAGCUCGUGCGGCCGAGCCUCCACAAUCAGAAGAAAGCAUUUACGAGGAGGUGGAUAGGAGCUUGGCUUCCUCCGCCAUGUAGCUUGUGCAUGCCCAGAAGCUUGAUUAUCAUGUCACAUGACUCAUAUUCCACAAUGCAUUGCACCGUACCGUACCGUACCAAUUGGAGCCAACAUUAUUUUCGUGUUUUUAGACAGUGAAUGCAAACUAAAAGAUCACGCCCUGGUAUCACACAUUGGGCACACCAAGUCGCUCCCUCCAAUCCAGAAGGGGGGGGGGGAUGACAAUUGACUCCAUCCAAACUUCGGAUUGGAGGAAAACUUUCAGUGCAGCCAAUCGGUCUACACAGUACAAACCAGACGCAGGUUGCCUUCAAGUGAGCCUGGGUCAUUUACAACAUUAAAUCUUUUCAAUUCACAAAUUUCUUCUCAGCACAAGAACACGAACUACUGUUGGAGUACUUUAUUGUUUGCGACGUAAUAAAUAAUAAUGAUAAUAAGGCACUUGUGUUGAUGUAAUAAUGGAUGAAAUUAAAUAAACUUCCACUUUUCCCUGCUGUUUGGGUCUGAUUACGUAGUGUUUUGAAAUAUAAAGCAAAUUGUGGACAGAAAUGGACCUUUAAAGAAAUAGGGAAUGUUAUGCAGCCAGAACUUACACGUUGGAGAUUCAAAGGGUGAUGCAAACUGAACUACAUGUAAUUGGCUUGAAUUUCGACCUCUUGAACUUGUGAUAAAAUAUGCUGAAUAAUGGCACCAACAAAACUUGGCAAAUUCAACCAUUAAGUAAAAUAAUAAUAACAAAUAAUUAUAUCUGGUUACAGCUUAGCAGUACAUGUGAAGUCUUCAUUAUAUUGAACAAGCUACGAUCAGUGGGAUGAGCAGUUACGUUGGAAUUUAUCAACCACCACCAACCCCGAUAACGUUAUAAAGGCCCAAAUGUCCUGGCAAUGGUGUUCAGGGAAUUUGGGCAAAACGGAAAAGAAAGAAAAUUAAAGAACAUCCUCACCUGACCCUGCUCAGCGUGACCAGCAAUUUCCCACUAGGUCGGAAUAACUUGAAAAAAAUUAUGCGUAAAAGAGUUUUUCCUUAUUGUCCAGCAAUGCCUCGACAGAUUUUAAUAAAUGUAAAUAAAAAUGUCCACCUUUCACAUUGCCCAGUGUAAUCAAGUUCAGAUCCGUUCCCAAAAAGGGGAUUGUCUCCCAAAAUUGCCACUUAAUGCCACGACUCAUCAUCAUCAACAUCAUCAUCAUCAUCUGAGAGGAUGGCCAAGAGGUAUUCACACUCUCCUCUAAGCUAUCUAGCCUGGGUUUGAAUCCCGAUCGAGCGAGAAAGUCAUUCUGGUAUUUCAUAAGAAGAGUGAUCGAUCCAUCAAUGCGUGCUUUCCCUCGGAUGGACGUUAAAUAGACAUCCUGUCUGCCAGCAUUCAUUGGGUGGAUGUUAAAGAUCCUACGGUGUCAUUCGUGAAGAGUCGGUGAGCUAUCACCGGCACCCUGAACUGGUUACACCAACAGCGAUAGAAUUGAAGUCGGUUUGAAUCCAGUGCCGAACGGCUUUUGAGAUCAGGUCUCAUUCAAGAACAGGAAAGGUUCAGUUGUAAUAACUUGGCCAUAAUUAAUUGAAAAGUAAACCAAUAGUUGUAUUGUCAAAGAGGGGGGGGGAGGGUUAAGUAAUAAAGGACAACCAGUGCAUGGCUGUUGAUAUUCCAGAAAAACUCUCCAUCAGUGGUGAGAACACAGUUUUGUGUUGGUACCGGCGUACUGUUCAUUACUAAACCGGCCAUAUUGUAUCAACACCCUGUUUAAUAUCCCAUUUCCAUCCAGGAAGUUUGGGAGUGAGCCUGCACUGAGAUACCACAUGUGGUACGGGAACACAACAUCCCUCUUCACCUUCAUGUCAGUUGCUGCGCAGGAAAGGGGCAGGACCUGUAACAACAACAACACCGACAACAUAUUUGUGGGCCAGUUGCACAAGAUGGAAUUGAUUCUUGAUGUAUUGAUUAAAACUCAUCGAAAAACUCUUGAAAUCGAUUCCAUCCCAAAAAUGCAUUUCUGUGAUGCACAUUUAGCAAAAUAACCUCUUUACAUAGCUAGUUGUCUGAAUCAACAUUCUAUUUUUAUACAGGUGUUAGGGCUCAUGGAAGAGCAGAGCAACAAAGGGGGAAGGGUCAAUAGAACACUGCGUCAAAGGGGUAGUAGCUGAUUGAUCGAUGCACCACAGCGUAAGGUGCAUCCAGGGAUUGCAGUUGUAAGGGGGGGGACAGAGUUUCAGCGGGUGUAGAAAAGGGUCCGAGGUAUAAUCAAACGGAAGACCAAGAAGGAACCUGUAGAAGUAAAGAGCAAAGAUGGUCAUCAGGAGGAACCUGGAUAGGAUUCGCGUUUUAGCCGCUACUCCACUACCCUCAAACCCAUCCAAGCGCAGAGAGACCAUGAUGUGGCAUAAUGCAGGAGGCUUGAAAUGCUGCAAGGAAGAACUCAAGACAACAGCCUCAAGAAGCCAGUUCGACAAGUGAGGAAUGAAUCGAGGUGAACAUUAACGUUAGACUUGGGAUAGGCAACCAGGCAAGGGUUUCUGGUGUGACCUGGAUGGGAGUGACUGGAGUUAAAUAGGGGUUUCACAGAAACUUGAGAGCACAGGAGCAAGACCAGAAGGGAGACAGUAAAAGUAUGCAGGUCUACAAACUUGCCUGAAGUGAGUGGUAAGCAGACACUGAAACAUGGAGAGCGUUUGACUGCAUGGCUUCAAGGAGGGGGAGCAGGGGCAGUUGGGGGGGGGGAGAUGUGAGUAAUCACGAGCAUUCUAUAGUGAAGGCAUUUUGAUUGAGGUCUUGAACUGAGGAUGGCAGAGGAAAGACUUGACUUGUAGACAAUUUUGAAUUUGUAGCUGGCUUUCGAGGACAAUUUAGCAAUAUGAACUGCCCAAGAUAAGUUAUCGGAGAUCAUGAACCCCAGGAUUAUUGGCUCCCUCUCCAGAGACAAACCACAAAUAAAUUUGGGUAUUACACAGCCAAUAUUUAGGGAGACAUAAAGCAAGAGUAUGGGACUUUCAUCAAUUAAAAGACAUGCUUCAGGUGGAUGAGCAGUUGCUUAUUUUCUCGAGAUCAGCAGAAAGUGAUGCUGCUGAAACCUACCUGGCAGAAGGCUGGGGAACAUUCCUGCACAGGGUGGAGUCAUCUCAAAAAGGAGACAACUUAGAUUUGUCCAAUGCUGAAGAGUGGUCAUUGCUGAAACAUAAAAUUUGUCCAAUGCUGAAGAGUGGGAAAAAGAGUGCGGAGGAGAGCAGCUCUGAGGAGAACAGCUCAGAUUAGAUCAUCUUGCCUGCUUUCCUCUCCCCUUGCUUGCUUGCCUGCCUUCACCUUGUGCCUGUUCGUCGUCCUAUCCAUCACCUCCUCAUCACCUGCUCGUGGCUGCUCUGUGCCCAUCCCCCCCCCCCAGCUACCACCAGAGCCGAGUCCCCAGUAUUGUCCCUUUCCUACCUGUGACUUCAGCCGGAGUGAGGCACUUUAGAUUUCUUUAGAUUCAUUGUUACCUCACUGUACAUAAUUAGUUCUUAAUUUCUUAAUUAAUUGUACUCCCUUCCUUCCUUCCCAACCAGCUGUCAUCUCGUCCAUCGCAAUUCCACCAUUCCUUGGGUUUUUUUUUUUAAACUUGUUUGUGUUACAGAAAAUAAACCCAGUGGAAAAUAAACCCAGUGGUUUUACCCAAACGAGGUUGCUCAUGUGUCUCCUCACAACCGCAUGUGCGCCAUCCGCCAUAUUUUGGAACGUCCCCACAGGAGUUAAAACUGUUUGGUACAUCACGGGGUUUUAACCUCCCACCGCAAUGAGCUCAAUGUUAGUUGAACCAUUGAGGUGACAAUAUUAAACUAGCCACAUUUCUCCAUCUGUCUGUCUGUCCCUCUCUGUGAUGCUCUUUUCUCUGCGACAUCAACAUGGCAUUUCUCUCUGUUACGUCUCGUGCUAAGCUGGGCCCCGAGCUGGUGUUGUAAAGAUGGCGUUG
Eptatretus burgeri (inshore hagfish) is the source of this 5296-nucleotide long non-coding RNA. The record is from Ensembl. Lineage: Eukaryota; Metazoa; Chordata; Myxini; Myxiniformes; Myxinidae.